UGGGGAAUAUUGCACAAUGGGCGCAAGCCUGAUGCAGCAACGCCGCGUGAGGGACGACGGCCUUCGGGUUGUAAACCUCUUUUGGCAGGGAAGAAGCGAAAGUGACGGUACCUGCAGAAAAAGCACCGGCUAACUACGUGCCAGCAGCCGCGGUGAUACGUAGGGUGCAAGCGUUGUCCGGAAUUAUUGGGCGUAAAGAGCUCGUAGGCGGUUUGUCGCGUCUGCUGGGAAAACCCGAGGCUCAACCUCGGGCCUGCAGUGGGUACGGGCAAACUAGAGUGCGGUAGGGGAGAUUGGAAUUCCUGGUGUAGCGGUGGAAUGCGCAGAUAUCAGGAGGAACACCGAUGGCGAAGGCAGAUCUCUGGGCCGUAACUGACGCUGAGGAGCGAAAGCAUGGGGAGCGAACA
RNAcentral lists this ribosomal RNA (407 nucleotides) under uncultured bacterium. RNAcentral describes it as "bacterial SSU rRNA". It matches the Rfam family "Bacterial small subunit ribosomal RNA", at positions 355 to 774 of the family's 1533-position model. The record is from RNAcentral.